Molecule: ribosomal RNA, 440 nt
Filed under: uncultured bacterium
Lineage: Bacteria
Description: partial 16S ribosomal RNA
Rfam family: Bacterial small subunit ribosomal RNA
Source: RNAcentral
CCUACGGGUGGCAGCAGUAGGGAAUAUUGCUCAAUGGGGGAAACCCUGAAGCAGCAACGCCGCGUGGAGGAUGAAGGUUUUCGGAUUGUAAACUCCUUUUGUUAGAGAAGAUAAUUACGGUAUCUAACGAAUAAUCACCGGCUAACUCCGUUCCAGCAGCCGCGGUAAUACGGAGGGUGCAAGCGUUACUCGGAAUCACUGGGCGUAAAGGGCGCGUAGGCGGGAUAGCAAGUCAGGUGUGAAAUCCUAUGGCGUAACCGUAGAACUGCAUUUGAAACUGGUAUUCUAGAGUAUGGGAGAGGUAGGUGGAAUUCUUGGUGUAGGGGUAAAAUCCGUAGAGAUCAAGAAGAAUACUCAUUGCGAAGGCGACCUGCUAGAACAUAACUGACGCUGAUGCGCGAAAGCGUGGGGAGCAAACAGGAUUAGAUACUCCAGUAGUC